CUUGCUGAUCAGAGCCACACACUGUACUGCCUAAAUUAAUAGCUGUGUUUUUUUCACAGAAUGGUUGAAGUUGGAAGGGACUUUGCGAGGCCAUCUUGUAUGCCCCACUCAGGCAGGCUGACCUAGAACCAUUUUUCUGGGAGCAAUAUUGUUACUGCAUCAUGUGCAAGAUGCACACUAAAAAUAAGACGCACUGGCUCGGAAACCUUUCCUGUCAGAAUCAACCAUAGCACUGAUUCCUCAGACAGGCCACUGAAAGCUUACAAUAUGCUUUUUAAUGAAGAGCUGUAUGUUGGCAUUACUGGAGGAAGAUAAAUCUUUAUAUCUCGCAGUUACAGCACUCUUAUCAGUAACUUUAUAACCCACCUCUUAAAGAACUGUGUAAUUUAAGUUGAUAUGGAUAUCUGAAAGCUCUCUUUAUUGACCAUAGCUCCUCCUGUAGUUUCAGUUUCAUGACUAAAGAGUACAAUUGCUAACGACACUUUUGUUUUUACUGCCCUGCUUUAUCAGGCAAACUGCAAUUUUACACCUUGUUAAGGAAGCAAAGUGAGAAGAAAACCACAUAAUCCUGUUAACAAGGUAGAUAAGACUAUUAUUUACCAUGACUUUUUUGAGGAAUAUUAUUCUUUGUCUAACAGGACCAGAGAUAAAGCAUAUCCUAAAAUGAUAAUGCACACAUUGAAAAGAGCUUUUUCACACUUGCUAUCAGUGUGAAGCCAUGACCUCAGAGCAAUAAUCCCAUACCUGAGCCAGUUCAUGAGGGACUGUUCUGGAGGAAAGGCCAGCCCCUAACUCAGUCAGCUAAAGUAAACACGCUUUAUCAGUGCUCUGCACUGAAUCACAGUUUCUGGUUCGAACCAAAGCUCCUGCCUUUCAGUCAGUAAUUGGAAUAGGGUCUGGUUUCCCACCGAGGAACUUAUUUCCACCGGCUCUUGCAGUGACCUGCAGAACAAGGCCAUCUGAGAAGGGAAGUGUGCGCUGUGCGUAAUGGCCAUCGGUGGAACCGCGUACC
This 1012-nucleotide long non-coding RNA is filed under the name Numida meleagris (helmeted guineafowl). RNAcentral's name for it is "lncRNA (ENSNMEG00000019560.1)". Lineage: Eukaryota; Metazoa; Chordata; Aves; Galliformes; Numididae. The record is from RNAcentral.